This 72-nucleotide transfer RNA is filed under the name Candidatus Roizmanbacteria bacterium. RNAcentral describes it as "tRNA-Arg". It matches the Rfam family "tRNA". From Rfam's summary of the family: Transfer RNA (tRNA) molecules are approximately 80 nucleotides in length. Lineage: Bacteria; Candidatus Roizmaniibacteriota. The record is from RNAcentral.
AGCCCUGUAGUUCAACGGAUAGAACCGGCGCGUCCUAAGCGCUAAAUGGCAGUUCAAUUCUGCCCAGGGCUA